This 169-nucleotide ribosomal RNA is filed under the name uncultured bacterium. RNAcentral describes it as "partial 16S ribosomal RNA". It matches the Rfam family "Bacterial small subunit ribosomal RNA", at positions 1332 to 1500 of the family's 1533-position model. The record is from RNAcentral.
UCGCUAGUAAUCGCAGAUCAGAAUGCUGCGGUGAAUACGUUCCCGGGUCUUGUACACACCGCCCGUCACACCAUGGGAGCCAGGAAUGCCCGAAGCCAGUGGCCUAACCGCAAGGGAGGAGCUGUCGAAGGCAGGCCCGGUAACUGGGGUGAAGUCGUAACAAGGUAGC